RNAcentral lists this ribosomal RNA (253 nucleotides) under uncultured bacterium. RNAcentral's name for it is "partial 16S ribosomal RNA". It matches the Rfam family "Bacterial small subunit ribosomal RNA", at positions 524 to 776 of the family's 1533-position model. The record is from RNAcentral.
UACGUAGGAGGCGAGCGUUAAUCGGAAUUACUGGGCGUAAAGCGUGCGUAGGCGGUUCGCUGUGUCCGAUGUGAAAGCCCCGGGCUUAACCUGGGAAUGGCAUUGGAAACUGGCGGGCUUGAGUGCGGCAGAGGGGGGUGGAAUUCCGCGUGUAGCAGUGAAAUGCGUAGAGAUGCGGAGGAACACCGAUGGCGAAGGCAGCCCCCUGGGUCGACACUGACGCUCAGGCACGAAAGCGUGGGGAGCAAACAGG